This 397-nucleotide ribosomal RNA is filed under the name uncultured bacterium. RNAcentral's name for it is "partial 16S ribosomal RNA". It matches the Rfam family "Bacterial small subunit ribosomal RNA", at positions 523 to 918 of the family's 1533-position model. The record is from RNAcentral.
AUACGUAGGGGGCGAGCGUUGUCCGGAAUGAUUGGGCGUAAAGGGCGCGUAGGCGGCCCGGUAAGUCUGGAGUGAAAGUCCUGUUUUUAAGAUGAGAAUUGCUUUGGAUACUGUCGGGCUUGAGUGCAGGAGAGGUAAGUGGAAUUCCCAGUGUAGCGGUGAAAUGCGUAGAGAUUGGGAGGAACACCAGUGGCGAAGGCGACUUACUGGACUGUAACUGACGCUGAGGCGCGAAAGUGUGGGGAGCAAACAGGAUUAGAUACCCUGGUAGUCCACACUGUAAACGAUGAAUGCUAGGUGUAGGGGGUAUCGACCCCUUCUGUGCCGCAGUCAGCACAAUAAGCAUUCCGCCUGGGGAGUACGGCCGCAAGGUUGAAACUCAAAUGAAUUGACGGGG